AACCUGGUUGAUCCUGCCAGUAGUCAUAUGCUUGUCUCAAAGAUUAAGCCAUGCAUGUGUAAGCACACACUGUUUUAAAAGUGAAGCCGCGAAUGGCUCAUUACAACAGCCACAGUUUAUUAGAACUUAUAAUCAUGGAUAACUGUGGUAAUUCUAGAGCUAAUACACGCACAAAAACUUCAACUGAAUUGGUUGAAGUGCUUUUAUUAGAACAAAAACCGAACGGCGUUUGGCGAAUGUUGAACGUCGAAACUGUUUGGUGAAUCUGAAUAACUAUUUCUGAUCGCAUGGUCUAGCACCGGCGACAUCACUUUCAAGUGUCUGCCUUAUCAACCUUCGAUGGUAGUCUAUGCGACUACCAUGGUGAUAACGGGUAACGGAGAAUCAGGGUUCGACUCCGGAGAGGGAGCCUGAGAAACGGCUACCACAUCCAAGGAAGGCAGCAGGCGCGCAAAUUACCCACUCCCAGCUUGGGGAGGUAGUGACGAAAAAUAACGAGACGAUUCUCGUUUGAGAAACGUUAUCGAAAUGAGUACGCUUUACACACGCUAACGAGUAGCAAUUGGAGGGCAAGUCUGGUGCCAGCAGCCGCGGUAAUUCCAGCUCCAAUAGCGUAUAUUAAAGUUGCUGCGGUUAAAACGCUCGUAGUUGAAUUGUGGUCUUAGACAACAGUCCCCCUACAUAGGUGUGGCACGGUUGCUCGAGAUCUUCAUUCGUGGUUGCUGUUGUUGCUCUUCAUUGAGUGUCAAUGGUGCCUCGAGAUUUUACUUUGAAAAAAUUAGAGUGCUCAAAGCAGGUUGUGAUGCCUGAAUAAUGGUGCAUGGAAUAAUAGAAUACGAUCUCGGUUCUAUUUUGUUGGUUUUCGAACCGGAGAUAAUGAUUGAAAGGAACAGACGGGGGCAUUCGUAUUGCUGCGUUAGAGGUGAAAUUCUUGGAUCGCAGCAAGAUGAACAAUUGCGAAAGCAUUUGCCAAGAAUGUUUUCAUUAAUCAAGAACGAAAGUUAGAGGUUCGAAGGCGAUCAGAUACCGCCCUAGUUCUAACGGUAAACUAUGCCAACCAGCGAUUCGCCGAAGUUCAUUUAAGACUCGGCGAGCAGCUUCCGGGAAACCAAAGUGUUUCGGUUCCGGGGGAAGUAUGGUUGCAAAGCUGAAACUUAAAGGAAUUGACGGAAGGGCACCACCAGGAGUGGAGCCUGCGGCUUAAUUUGACUCAACACGGGAAAACCCACCCGGCCCGGACACUGGAAGGAUUGACAGAUUGACAGCUCUUUCUUGAUUCAGUGGGUAGUGGUGCAUGGCCGUUCUUAGUUGGUGGAGCGAUUUGUCUGGUUAAUUCCGAUAACGAACGAGGCUCUACCCUAUUAAAUAGUGACAGUAUUGUAUUUAUUGUGCUGAUCACUUCUUAGAGGGACUGGCAAAUUGAAAGCUGCACGAAAAAGAGCAAUAACAGGUCUGUGAUGCCCUUCGAUGUCCGGGGCUGCACGCGCGCUACAAUGAAAGCGUCAACGUGAGUUACGUCCUUACCUGAAAAGGUUUGGCAAUCGAAUGAAACGUUUUCUUGAAUGGAAUAGGGAAUUGCAAUUGUUUCCCUUGAACGAGGAAUUCCCAGUAAGCGUGAGUCAUUAGCUCGCGUUGAUUACGUCCCUGCCCUUUGUACACACCGCCCGUCGCUACUACCGAUUGGAUGAUUUAGUGAGGUGUUUUGACUGGCGCCAGUAGUCGGAUGUAUUCGGCUUCGCGCCGGGAAAUUUCCCAAACCAAAUCAUCUAGAGGAAGUAAAAGUCGUAACAAGGUUUCCGUAGGUGAACCUGCGGAAGGAUCAUUG
This 1825-nucleotide ribosomal RNA is filed under the name Trichinella murrelli. RNAcentral's name for it is "SSU rRNA". It matches the Rfam family "Eukaryotic small subunit ribosomal RNA". The record is from RNAcentral. Lineage: Eukaryota; Metazoa; Nematoda; Enoplea; Trichinellida; Trichinellidae.